CCUGAGCCUCUCGGGCCAAAGACGUGCCAUGGGCUAGCCCCAUCGGUUCUCUUCGCCCAAACAACAAACCCCCGGCGCCGAACGCGCCAAGGAACAUGAUUCUAAGGGCGUUCUCUUGUCGUCCCGGCAACGGUGCACGUGCAACGAGUGACGCGAAAUUUGUAUCCAAAAUGACUCUCGGCAACGGAUAUCUCGGCUCUCGCAUCGAUGAAGAACGUAGCGAAAUGCGAUACUUGGUGUGAAUUGCAGAAUCCCGUGAACCAUCGAGUCUUUGAACGCAAGUUGCGCCCGAAGCCAUUAGGCCGAGGGCACGUCUGGCUGGGUGUCACGCAACGUCGCCCCAACCCCCACGCCCAUCGCAGGGCGUCGGGGGUCGAGGGCGGAUGAUGGCCUCCCGUGAGCCACGCCUCGCGGAUGGCCGAAAUAAGAGUUUGCGAUGUGGCGAGCACCACGGCGCACGGUAGUUGAGUAAACAACGCUCGAGCCCAGUCGUGCGUGCUCCGCCCCCGUGGCGAGCUCGGAGACCCUAUCGCGUCUCGGGACGCUUCUGAUGCGACCUCAGUCUCAGGCGGGGCUACCC
This 580-nucleotide ribosomal RNA is filed under the name Berlinia razzifera. RNAcentral describes it as "eukaryotic LSU rRNA". The stretch from base 173 to 328 matches the Rfam family "5.8S ribosomal RNA". Lineage: Eukaryota; Viridiplantae; Streptophyta; Magnoliopsida; Fabales; Fabaceae. The record is from RNAcentral.